Molecule: long non-coding RNA, 5431 nt
Filed under: Marmota monax (woodchuck)
Lineage: Eukaryota; Metazoa; Chordata; Mammalia; Rodentia; Sciuridae
Source: RNAcentral
CGGCCACCGUCUGUGCCCACCCUCCCGUGACAGUCUGGACCAGCGUAGCUCAGGGCCCCUCCUCUCCCAGGGCCAGGCUGUGUAUGCAGCAGGCGCUCACCUCUCAGUGUGGCAGCCCCGGGCCAGGAUCCCAGCCCCUCCUCUGGCUCCAGGUCUGUGCCCACCAGGCCAUCCUGCCCGUGCACUUGGGGCCAGGUGCUGGGCAUGGCCUCCAGGAGCACUGGUCCGUGGCCAGCAGGCUGUGCCCUGGGAGCUCCCUCUGGGCCUGGACAGCAGCCGGACUCGGCCAGGAGGAGGUGCAGGGAGGGGCCUGAAGGACCAGCAGAGGGUCCAGAGACGCGGUGUCCCCAGGAGCGAGGAGCGCAUGUUGGUGGCCCCUCUGGCAGCCUCUGCCCUGGGCUCUCUGCUCUGCGGGUGCCAGAGGCCCCCGGCUGAGACCUCCCUGCAGCCCCGUCCCAGCAGAUGGCCGCUCCUGUCCAAGGCUGACCUCGGUGGGAGCCCUUGACCUUGUCUCAGUGGACACCCAGCUGCCCUGUCCAAGCAGGCUCAGGGCAGGGUGGAGGGGCUGCAGGGGGGGUACGAGCUGCCCCUUGGCGCAGGACCCCAGGAGCACUGGCAGGGUCUGUGGGUGGCAGGGUGGGGGGUCACCUGGGCACAAUCCUGGCUGCACGUGUGACAGAGAAGGGGACCAUUCAUCUGCCGUGCUGGGACCAGGUGGGACCCUCCAGGCCCAGGUGCCCCCUCCACACCCGCCCGCGCUCACCCCAGGGGCAGCAGGUACUUUGCUGGUAAUUAAAACGUCACUUCAUUGUCCACAGAGGAGCACCUCCAGGCUCACACUGGGCGAGUCCUGCUGGGCUCUGCACGGUCUCCUCACCUGUGCCCAGACCACUGGCAGGACGAGGACGGGGAGGUCCCACGGCUCCUGGGGUCCUUCCUAGGCCAAGGUCACAGCCCCCAGGCUGUGGGCGGGGGACACAGCCCAGGACACCGGACCCAGGGCCUCGGGUCCUGGCCAGAGGGAGGAGCAGAGUGGUGCCCGCCAGGCGCUGCAGGUGGGGCCGGCUCAGCGGGCAGCCCUGUGCCCUGGGCCCUCGGAGCUCGCUGGGGUGGACUGUGACACCACACCUCUUGCAGGGCUGAGGGGGCCUUGCCACCCUGUGGCAGGUCAUGACCGAGAUGUCACUUCAGGGUGUGGCUGUCCCUGGCCACCCCACCUGAAGUCCCCUCCCGCUGGCCCCUCAGUCCUGCCCUGGCCACCCCACCUGAAGUCCCCUCCCGCUGGCCCCUCAGUCCUGCCCUGGACUUUAUCGCCAUCAGCAAAGCAGGUGUCCUUGUCUGGACGCUGUGAAGCCAGGUCCUGGGUCCUCCACUCUUGGCCUAAUGAUGCUCUCCCCAAUGUGCCACUUGGUUCUCGGGAACCGGGAACGUGCUCUCAGCCGGGGAGCGGGGAUCAGCUGGACAGACACCUGCCCGAGUGGUCAGCCUCCCAUUGGCCGGGCCAGCCCAGCCCCCAACUUGUCAUUUGUCUACAAAUUCAUCUUUUUUUUUUUUUUUCCAAAAACUACAAAGAGAUUCAAGUCUGGCCUCCUCCUCGGGUUCUCGCUCCGGCGAGGGCCCUGUAAGCAGGUGAAGAGCUGUCUGCUCUGUCCUGGUCCUCAGAGGGCAGAGGGCAGAGGGCAACGCCUCACUCCUACCACCUUUCCCUACUGUGCAGCCGUUGCUGGCACACAGUAGGUGCUCGGCAAGGUGAAGUGGAAAAGAGAUGAAUGAAUGAAUAAGAAGUGUGGGCGGGCGGCGCUGGGGACAGGGUGGUUUCAGGCAUCAGGUGGUGACGCGCCGGGGCUCCCAUGUCCUCUGCUCAGCUCCCACGCAGCCCUUCCCCGGCACUCGGUGGACACAGCAGGGAGAAGGUCAUGCCCCCCACCUCCUGGAGCUUGUUCUCUGGGACAGGGUCCAGACGGCCCGGGACUCAGCAGCAGGCGGAGGGGCCGUGCCCUGUGUGACCAGCAGCAGGGAUCCUGGAUGGGUGUUAAGGGGUCCCUUAACAAGGGGACUGUGCCCGGGAAGCCACUGAGAAGACAAAGCUGGCCCUUGGCAGAGAGCUCCCGCCGCCCAGUCCCCAUCAGUGAGAUGUGGCUGCAGGACAGGAAGCUAGCCGGGGGGCCGGUCCCCGAGCCCCAGGACCUCCCGCAGUGAAGGCUGCCAGGCUGGGCUGGGCUGGCCGCAGAGCCAAACCAGGUCCCGACUCGCCCAGGGGUCUUCUUCCUGCUCCCGCAGAGGCCUCUGGGAUGCUGUCCACACCUGGCCCUAGAGGACUGGUUCCCAGGGCUGGUGACAGGCCAGGGCUGUGAGGGGCAGCGACACUGGGACCUGCUUCCUGGAUAUGUCCACAGGCACCUGCCCAGAGCAGGCGUUCGCAGCUGCUGGGCAGCAUGCGGAUGUCCAGCUGUAGCUCCUAGGACUGGCUGGUUGCUGGCACUUGGUAGGGGCCCGGCUGUGGCUCAGGCAGUGGCCCUCAGUAAGUAUGUACAACUGGGAAGGAGCUGGCCUGGCGAGGCCUGUCCCGGGCAGCAGGGACCUGACGGGGGAAGGGGGCCAGGGCCUCCAGGAUUCUCCCUGCUCUCUCUCCCCUUCCUGCCUGUCCCUCCCCGUCCUCCUCUCUGACCAGACAUGACCCUCUGGAGCUCUGGAGUCGGGGACCCGGGGUCUGGCAGACACACGGCCGGGCUGGGGGGUCCCCAGUAGCUUCCCUGGGUUUCUCCAGCUCCAUCCUGGGGGCAGGAUGUGGCCUUCAGACCCUUCCCCUGGCCUGUGCCACACAGAGGCAGUGGACCUUCACCCCAGGGCUGGGGCUGGACUGGGUGCAGGGGACGCAAGGGGGACACAGAUCCUGUCCCCACCUUUGAGGACAUCACAGUCCCCAAACUAUAAGCGUAAGUCAGACUGUGGAGUGAGUCCAGUGCUCACAGUGGACCUCACCCUGUCCUCAUUCACGUUUCAUGUUCAGUGGAGGGAGGGGUCACAGCUCUGUGUCCACAUCUGGGCCGAUGGUCCAUUUUAAAUCGAUGUUUGCACAAGGUGUGAGGUUCAGGUUGGGUUGAACUUUUUGCUAUCAGGACAGUUCCAAUACCAUUUAUUGAGUAGACUAUUUUCAAUCAACUAGAUUUAUUUGCACCUUGUGUUAAAAAUCCUUUGGCAAAAUUUAGGUGGGUCUGUUUCUAACUCUCGGUUUCCGUCACUGUUUUCCUUCAUUGAUAUUGCACUGUUGAUUGUAUAGAUUUAUAUUUAGACUUAAAAUGGGAUAAUGAUCUUUCCAAUCUUAUUGGUUUCAAAAUUGUUUUAAAUGUUCUAGCUCCUUUGAUUUUGCCUGCACAUCCUCAAAUUAGUUGGUUUAUAUGUAUAAACAAUCCUGCUGGCUUCAUAUGACACUAAAUCUGUAGAUCAGUGAGGGGAGAAUUCCCAUGUGUACUAUUUUGGUCUUCCAAUCCAUGAACCUGGUACGUCUUUCCAUCAAUUUAGGUUUUCUUUUAUUUCUUUAAUCAAUAUUUUGAUGUUGAAAGCAUGCAAAUCCUGCCCAGGCUUGUUAGAUUAGUAUCUAAGUACUACAUUCCAGGAAGUUUUUAUAAAUGGUAUUAAUUUUUUUUCUAGGAGUACAUUAUUAUUAUUUAGAAACAUGAUUGAUCUUUCUGUGUUGACCUUGCCAAUAUGUGGGCCCUUUAUUUACUUCCUUACCUUCAGAUGGUUCUUUUAAAAAUUAUUUUUUUUCCAAUAUUAAAAAUAAGCAGCAGCAGCAGACAGUUAUUUCACAUAAAAGCCCACAGGGCCUGGCGCCCUCACAUCAGAGCUGAAGAGCAGCCAUGCACUGACGGCUCUCUGUAGCCCCCAGGCCUCCUGCCACCCCUCAGGCACCCGCAACCCUAACCCUGUCCUGGAAGGCGGCAGGCAGAGAGCAGCGGCCUUUGUUCCCUUCCCUGGUGCAGAAACUGUGGGUGGCUUCCAGAGAAUCCUGUUGGCCAGGCUGAGGUCACAUGACACUCCCUGCAGAGGAGGGGGUUCAGCCACAGGAAUGAGGGUGGGAGGAGUUUCCACUGCCACGCACACCUGGUCUCGUUCAGAUGCCCACGCACACCUGGUCUUCCUGCAGAUGCCCACGCACACCUGGUGUUCUCGUUCAGAUGCCCAUGCACACUUGGUCUUCCUGCAGAUGCCCACGCUCACCUGGUCUCCUGCAGAUGUCCACACACACCUGGUGUUCUCGUUCAGAUGCCCAUGCACACCUGGUCUCCUGCAGAUGCCCACGCACACCUGGUCUUCCUGCAGAUGCCCACGCACACCUGGUGUUCUCACGCUUGCUGUGUGUGGAAACCACUGGGAGGACCCACUGCCCGUCCCUCCCUGGCACACUGAUCUCACUCGCACAGCCGGUGCCCACCAUGCAACCAGAGUCAGUUCCUUCCUGGACCCUCCUCUGCCGCGAGGCCCGGGCAGGAGGCUCAUCUCUGCUCCAGGAGCCUGGGGCAGAUCCCUGGGAGAAGCCUCCAUCGGAACCUAAGUGACUCAGAGCCCGGCACAGCACUCAGCAUCCUGGGAGGGAAGGAGAGUUCCCCGGGGCCCACUGUCCCAGACGGUGACGUCACAUAGUGUCCCGCGGGAAGCGCCACCCGGCUCCUCGGCCUCCUGAGUUCCCACCUGUCCUGUCUGGCCUGGCCCCACCUGGCCUGUCCCUGGAGGUCUCCAAGAUCUCAGGGUAAGGUCCUGUCUUAGUCUGAGGUGGCCAUAACCUGGGGUUCUUUCUACUUGGAGUGUCCCCCUCCUGGCCGGAGCCACCCUGGACAUGCCCUCCCGGGGGCCUCAGCAUGCUGCUCAGGUUCCCCACAGCUCAAGGCUCUCCCGGGGGCUCGUCUCACCAAGGACUUAGCACCAGACGAAACACAGAUGGGGCCAUGUCACGUCUCCAGGGGCCAUAAAGCAAAGACACGGCUUUAAACCUCUGCAAAUAUUUAAAAGUAAUGAAAUGACACCCUGAGCCUUCUAAAGACGGCCAUAAGUCUACCGCCCACGUUGAUUAUUGUGAGUUCCCCACUGUAAUAAAAUGCACUAUUGUGUGUUAUCAACACAAGGAUCGAGGCCUGUCAAUUUGAUAUAAAACUAACAUCUUUGCUGCAACAGAGUCAGGCAUUCCAUGAGCACCAGCUCUGCUCGUCUUCUGAGAAUUUACGCUGUCUCCUCUGGAAUCAUCUGGGAGGUCCGGGACUGUGGUAAGAAGCUGAUGUGCUGUGGGGGAUCAUGGCUCAGCUGGCCGGGGUGCGAGGGUCCUGUUGGCCCUGGACCAGCCUGCAGCUCCCUGUCCUCCCCUCCUGCUGACAAGCUCAGUGCCCGUCCCCUGGGGCUGGGAGGUGACUGAUAUAGCAGACUGCUGUGUUCUGUG